CCUAACACAUGCAAGUCGAACGAGAAAGUUCCUUCGGGGACGAUUAAAGUGGCGCACGGGUGAGUAACGCGUAGACAAUCUGCCCUUCAGUCUGGGACAACUUUUCGAAAGGAGAGCUAAUACCGGAUGACAAUAUAACACAUAAGUGUCAUAUUUGAAAGCUCCGGCGCUGAAGGAGGGGUCUGCGUCCCAUUAGCUAGUUGGUGAGGUAAAGGCUUACCAAGGCAACGAUGGGUAGCGGGUUUGAGAGGACGAUCCGCCACACUGGAACUGAGACACGGUCCAGACUCCUACGGGAGGCAGCAGUGGGGAAUAUUGCACAAUGGAGGCAACUCUGAUGCAGCAAUGUCGCGUGAGUGAAGAAGGCCCUUGGGUCGUAAAGCUCUUUUAUGGGGGAAGAUGAUGACGGUACCCCAAGAAUAAGCACCGGCUAACUACGUGCCAGCAGCCGCGGUAAUACGUAGGGUGCGAGCGUUGUUCGGAAUUACUGGGCGUAAAGGGCGCGCAGGCGGAAUAGCAAGUCGGAGGUGAAAGCCCGGGGCUCAACCCCGGAGGGUCUUUCGAAACUGCUAAUCUAGAGAGGGUCAGGGGUCAGCAGAAUUCUUGGUGUAGAGGUGAAAUUCGUAGAUAUCAAGAGGAAUACCGGUGGCGAAAGCGGCUGGCUGGGACCACUCUGACGCUGAGGCGCGAAAGCGUGGGGAGCAAACAGGAUUAGAUACCCUGGUAGUCCACGCCGUAAACGAUGAGCACUGGAUGUCCGGAGGGUUCGACCCUUCUGGGUGUCUCAGCUAACGCAUUA
Molecule: ribosomal RNA, 799 nt
Filed under: uncultured SAR324 cluster bacterium
Lineage: Bacteria; Deltaproteobacteria
Description: SSU rRNA
Rfam family: Bacterial small subunit ribosomal RNA
Source: RNAcentral